Molecule: ribosomal RNA, 253 nt
Filed under: uncultured bacterium
Lineage: Bacteria
Description: partial 16S ribosomal RNA
Rfam family: Bacterial small subunit ribosomal RNA
Source: RNAcentral
UACGUAGGGUGCGAGCGUUGUCCGGAAUUAUUGGGCGUAAAGGGCUCGUAGGCGGUUUGUCGCGUCGGGAGUGAAAACACCGGGCUUAACUCGGUGCUUGCUUCCGAUACGGGCAGACUAGAGGCAUGCAGGGGAGAACGGAAUUCCUGGUGUAGCGGUGAAAUGCGCAGAUAUCAGGAGGAACACCGGUGGCGAAGGCGGCAUCCUGGACCAAUUCUGACGCUGAGGAGCGAAAGCCAGGGGAGCAAACGGG